Notolabrus celidotus (New Zealand spotty) is the source of this 585-nucleotide long non-coding RNA. RefSeq lists it as uncharacterized. The record is from RefSeq and is a predicted model, not a curated record. The transcript has 3 exons. Lineage: Eukaryota; Metazoa; Chordata; Actinopteri; Labriformes; Labridae.
UCUGCAUCAUUACCUCCCUCCGCCAUCUUCUUCUCACUGCCGUAAAGCGGAACGCACGCCAUUGACUGGACUGUCGUAAAGGUCGCAAAGUCAAGUAUUCCAGUUUAGUUCAGAAUUAUGUCUGCAGGUUAAUCCAAGAGGUAAAUACCGUACAAUUACAUUAAAUACACUAAACUACUAGAGAAGUCACACUGUUUACCUCACUGUUUACCUCCACAUUUCAGUGAUAUGAAGAUUGGAACUGAAGAUAGGACUAAGAUAAUGUUUUUUGGAGAUAAACAAGAAAAAUAUUGUUUAAAAAACAAGGCUGCCACAGACAGGAGGAGAAGAUGGGAAAAUGUGACUCAGAGGCAAAACUACAAUGCACUAAUUCAGAUGCCUCAAGGCUUCAGGGAUGUUUCGAUGGAAGUUUCCUGCCGUCUGAACGCGGCAAUGUCAGCAUCCAGCAACCACAGCUAUAGCAGUAAGGGGACAAAUAUGGCACAGUGUUCUGAGCUGGAUUACCAGAGUAGAGGAGAAAAACGGCGAGAGAAAACAGAAGCGUCGUUGAGCUUUCAGCGCCUGGGUUUUCGGCACUUUAUUGGU